AAUAGCUAGUUGCAUCAUUUUAACGAUGAUGCAAGAUCGACUAUGUCGAAUAAAAUUCUAGGUAGAAUUAUGAUAAUGACAUUGUCUGCCUAUGUGUCUUGACCAAAUUACGUGCCAGCAGUCGCGGUAAUACGUAGAAGACUAGUGUUAUUCAUGUUUAAUCGGUUUAAAGGGUACCUAGACGGUGAAUCAAGCUUUAUAAGAAAUAUAGUUAAAGGACUAAUUUACUAGAGUUACUUACGAGGGGGCAUUAAAGUACUACUGGUGUAGAGAUGAAAUUCUGUCAUACCUCUUUUCAAAAGAAAAAAUGAAGGCACAGGUAUAGGCGAAGGCAUCUCCUUAUGUGAUAACUGACGUUGAGGGACGAAGGCUUUGUAUAGCGAACAGGAUUAGUUACCCCAGUAGUCGAAGCAGAAAAUGAUGAAUGUCAUAGAUUAGAUGUAAGUUUAUUCUAUAAAUGAAAGUGUAAGCAUUCCACCUCAUGAGUAAUUUGGCAACAUUGGAACUGAAAUCAUUAGACCGUUUCUGAAACCAGUAGUGAAGUAUGUUGUUUAAUUUGAUGAUCCGCAAAAAACCUUACCACAAUUUGAAUAUUUAUAUUUUUUUUUAUUGUUUUCUUAUUAAUUUUCUUCUAAUAACAAGAUAAGACAAUAAAAUGUUUAUGAGAAAAAAGAAGAAAGUUAAUAUAGAGGCAAUAAGAUA
Molecule: ribosomal RNA, 702 nt
Filed under: Melanohalea exasperata
Lineage: Eukaryota; Fungi; Ascomycota; Lecanoromycetes; Lecanorales; Parmeliaceae
Description: SSU rRNA
Rfam family: Bacterial small subunit ribosomal RNA
Source: RNAcentral